UAAGCGCCAGGACUUAAGUGAAAAAAAGAAACUCCGCCUCAUGUACAUUGGGUGGAGUAAGUUAGCCUAACUAAAUCAUAGAUUUAGAGGGAAAAAGGAAACUUCGCCUCAUAUAAAUUCGGUGGAGUAAGUUCGCCUAACUAAAUCAUAGAUUUAGAGGCUCACUUAAGUUGACGAGGAUGGGGAGUAUCGAAUCUUCGGCGGGUGCCCCACGGUAUCGCACUACCGUUAGCGAUUGAUAAAAACAGGAAGUGAUUUCUGUUACAAAGCAA
This 272-nucleotide non-coding RNA is filed under the name uncultured Clostridium sp. RNAcentral's name for it is "glmS glucosamine-6-phosphate activated ribozyme". It matches the Rfam family "glmS glucosamine-6-phosphate activated ribozyme aptamer", at positions 11 to 154 of the family's 167-position model. Rfam says of the family: This entry contains a glucosamine-6-phosphate activated ribozyme that is found in the mRNA for GlmS. The record is from RNAcentral. Lineage: Bacteria; Bacillati; Bacillota; Clostridia; Eubacteriales; Clostridiaceae.